CCUACGGGAGGCAGCAGUGGGGAAUAUUGCACAAUGGGGGCAACCCUGAUGCAGCAACGCCGCGUGAAGGAAGAAGUCUUUCGGUAUGUAAACUUCUAUCAGCAGGGAAGAAGAUGACGGUGCCUGCCUAAGAAUCCCCGGCUACCUACGUCCCAGCAGCCGCGGUAAUACGUAGUGGGCAAGCGUUGUCCGGAUUUACUGGGUGUAAAGGGAGCGUAGGCGGCGGUGCAAGUCAGAAGUGAAAGCCCGGGGCUCAACUCCGGGACUGCUUUUGAAACUGUAUGGCUAGAUUGCAGGAGAGGCAAGUGGAAUUCCUAGUGUAGCGGUGAAAUGCGUAGAUAUUAGGAGGAACACCAGUGGCGAAGGCGGUGUGCUGGACUGUAAAUGACGCUGAGGCUCGAAAGCGUGGGGAGCAAACAGGAUUAGAUACCCUUGUAGUC
This 440-nucleotide ribosomal RNA is filed under the name uncultured bacterium. Its description in RNAcentral is "partial 16S ribosomal RNA". It matches the Rfam family "Bacterial small subunit ribosomal RNA", at positions 338 to 795 of the family's 1533-position model. The record is from RNAcentral.